ACUCAAAUGAAUUGACGGGGGCCCGCACAAGCGGUGGAGCAUGUGGUUUAAUUCGAUGCAACGCGAAGAACCUUACCUACCCUUGACAUCCAGAGAAUUCUGCAGAGAUGCGGAAGUGCCGAAAGGAACUCUGAGACAGGUGCUGCAUGGCUGUCGUCAGCUCGUGUUGUGAGAUGUUGGGUUAAGUCCCGUAACGAGCGCAACCCUUAUCCUUAGUUGCCAACGCGUCAUGGCGGGGACUCUAAGGAGACUGCCGGUGAUGAACCGGAGGAAGGCGGGGACGACGUCAAGUCAUCAUGGCCUUUAUGGGUAGGGCUACACACGUGCUACAAUGGACGGUACAGAGGGCAGCGAAAUCGCGAGAUGGAGCCAAUCCCGAAAAGCCGUUCGUAGUCCGGAUCGGAGUCUGCAACUCGACUCCGUGAAGUCGGAAUCGCUAGUAAUCGCGAAUCAGAAUGUCGCGGUGAAUACGUUCCCGGGCCUUGUACACACCGCCCGU
Molecule: ribosomal RNA, 499 nt
Filed under: uncultured bacterium
Lineage: Bacteria
Description: partial 16S ribosomal RNA
Rfam family: Bacterial small subunit ribosomal RNA
Source: RNAcentral